CCGAGUGUCCCCCUGCUCUUAAACGCUGCAGCGAGCCGCACCGCGGCGUAAAGGCGUUUUCUAACGGUGUUGUCUCUCCUCUCCCGCCCGCCACGAAUGUGCGUUCUGCAGAGUCCACAGAGGAAUGAAAGACUCUAGCAAAAAGAACAACAUUUUUGCUCAGUUCAGGAAGAACGAUCGUGACAAGCAGAAGCUAAUAGAGACUGUAGUAAAGCAACUUAGGAGUUUAGUGAAUGGUAUGUCCCAGCACACAUAGGCCUGCUAAAUCAUCACCUGUCUCAUCAUGCCAAGAGGUAUUUCUUAGCCACUGUUUCUACUAAGCAAACAGCGAUAUCAGUUAGGAUGUUUGUUUGGCCGAGUAAAGGAAAAAUGCAGUAGAUGGCUUGUACACAGAGUCUUCAGCAAACAAUUCUUUGUACGUAUUUUUAAUGGAUCGAAUACUAUUUUGUAUAUUGUAAACAAAUGGUGAAAAAUGAGACUGUACAAUAAAAACCAGCUCACUCGUAUUGUACAUGGAACAACUGAACUGUAAAUACAUUAUUUAAAUAUCUGCAGACAUGGUGUCCAAAAUUCUGCUCUGGGUAAGAAUUAUUUGAGAAAUGAUCCCUUAGUUGCUGUUUUCUGGAUUAAUCCUAAUUUAAUAGGUUUUUUUAAGCAUUGAGAUACUUGCGUUUCAGAUGCCGCCUAUCGUUUUCCUGCAUUAAAUGUAUAUUAGCCUUAAAGUGAUUGGACAUAAUUUUGUAUACCAGAUUUUAUAGUCUGGAGGUAUGAAGAAAUCUUCUGAUUUUUAGUACCUUUGAAAACUACCUGAGAACUAGACUUGAUAUUUAUUUAGCAUUAGGGCUUAUAGGCUUUGUUCUCCAAAAGGGUUUAAUCUUGAGGUUGUGAAUGUAAAUAACCAUUUGGGUUCUUUAUAAUGUGACGUUUUGUUUUGUUCCUCAGGGUUACUAUUUCUAACUGUACUUUUGUAAGAUCCCGGGUUCUUUUCCCCAGGUUGCAGUAAGGAAUAGAUUUGCCGCUGUUGGUUUUGUGCCGCAUCUGUUUGUCAGUAUGCGCUUUCCACCGCCAGACCUGUCCCAGCGAUUAGCGUUUCGUCCCACCGCCGGUCUCUUUGCACUGUCCCUUCCUGGCUAGUUUAGACACAAAGAGAAUGUCUAACAAGUACAAACCAAAUGGAACAUGUAAAAAUAAUGUACAUUUUCGCUGUAUUUUUAAGUUAUUGACGGUCUAAAUACAGUAAUAUAAACCUC
Long non-coding RNA from Egretta garzetta (little egret), 1250 nucleotides. RefSeq lists it as uncharacterized. NCBI's taxonomy places the organism in Eukaryota, Metazoa, Chordata, Aves, Pelecaniformes, Ardeidae. The transcript has 2 exons. The record is from RefSeq and is a predicted model, not a curated record.